UCAUGAUGUUACUUUUUACCCAAUGCAGAACUUGGCUUGAUGGAAAUGGUGAACUGCCCUCCAGAAUUAUGAUGAAAUAGGCUAGAAAGAAGAGCUGUGAAUUAAGAGAGAAGAUACAGUGUGAGUGAGUGAGAGAUUGUUCCAUGAGUGAGAGAUUCUUUUAUGUGUUUGUAAACAUGUCAUGUCAGCAUUCUAUAUAGCAUGGUAAUUCUUUUUGUGUGGCACUGUCAAUAUGAUGUAGUACUAUUAUUUCACCCUUUGUCAAUAAUCAAUAUUUUGCACUGCUUGCAAGCUUUUCUUCUUCUGAACUUCUGUUAUCUGCAGCACCUCACAACACUAUCUUGGAGGCUUAAGAUUAACAUCAUGAUGAUCUGUACAUACAUGCAAGCUCUAUAGCUCACAACAUGAAUAUGGACCUAGGUGGUUUAUCAUUAACAUCUGAGCACAAGAUUUCAGAUAAUAUCAUGCAAACUUGUCUUCCCCUGCAGUGGAAAAUGAGAACUAUACAGCUUUUGCAUUUCAGAGGUGUGUGGCAUUGUCAAUAUGAUGUACUAUUAUUUCACCCUUUGUCAAUAAUCAG
RNAcentral lists this long non-coding RNA (580 nucleotides) under Triticum aestivum (bread wheat). Its description in RNAcentral is "long non-coding RNA (TAES_LNC003815)". The record is from RNAcentral. Lineage: Eukaryota; Viridiplantae; Streptophyta; Magnoliopsida; Poales; Poaceae.